CUGGGCACCGAGCGCCUCGCGCUCACCCCCACCCUUUGCUUCGCCCCGAAACGCACUCGGCGUCGUGGGCCCUCUUUUGGGGGCCCCUGCCGGAAUCCAACCCUGAACAACCUGCAGCCUGAAGUGAAAAGCAAACAGUUA
Molecule: unclassified non-coding RNA, 141 nt
Filed under: uncultured Venturiaceae
Lineage: Eukaryota; Fungi; Ascomycota; Dothideomycetes; Venturiales; Venturiaceae
Description: sequence contains ITS1
Source: RNAcentral